AUUGAACGCUGGCGGAAUGCUUUACACAUGCAAGUCGAACGGCAGCACGGGUGCUUGCACCUGGUGGCGAGUGGCGAACGGGUGAGUAAUACAUCGGAACGUAUCCAGUCGUGGGGGAUAACGUAGCGAAAGUUACGCUAAUACCGCAUACGUCCUGAGGGAGAAAGCGGGGGACCGUAAGGCCUCGCGCGAUUGGAGCGGCCGAUGGCGGAUUAGCUAGUUGGUGGGGUAAAGGCCUACCAAGGCGACGAUCCGUAGCGGGUCUGGGAGGACGGACCGCCACACUGGAACUGAGGCGCGGUCCAGACUCCUACGGGAGGCAGCAGUGGGGAAUUGUGGACAAUGGGCGAAAGCCUGAUCCAGCCAUUCCGCGUGAGUGAAGAAGGCCUUCGGGUUGUAAAGCUCUUUCGGCAGGGAAGAAACGGCUUGGGAUAAUACCCCGGGCUAAUGACGGUACCUGAAGAAGAAGCACCGGCUAACUACGUGCCAGCCGCCGCGGUAA
Molecule: ribosomal RNA, 502 nt
Filed under: uncultured bacterium
Lineage: Bacteria
Description: partial 16S ribosomal RNA
Rfam family: Bacterial small subunit ribosomal RNA
Source: RNAcentral